GUGGAGCCUGCGGCUUAAUUUGACUCAACACGGGAAACCUCACCAGGCCCGGACACCAGAAGGAUUGACAGAUUAAGAGCUCUUUCUCGAUUUGGUGGGUGGUGGUGCAUGGCCGUUCUUAGUUGGUGGAGUGAUUUGUCUGGUUAAUUCCGGUAACGAACGAGACUCUGGCCUACUAAAUAGUGGACGGGCGUUUUGGUGCAUGGGCCCCGUUCGACACAGUCUUCUUAGAGGGAUGAGCAGCGAGUAUAGCUGCAGGAGAUUGAGCAAUAACAGGUCUGUGAUGCCCUUAGAUGUCCUGGGCCGCACGCGCGCUACACUGAAUGGGUUAGCGGGUUGUCCUUCUCCGAGAGGAGCGGGAAAUCGCGUGAAAACCAUUCGUGAUAGGGAUUGGGGCUUGCAAUUGUUUCCCAUGAACGAGGAAUUCCCAGUAAGCGCAAGUCAUCAGCUUGCGUUGAUUAAGUCCCUGCCCUUUGUACACACCGCCCGUCGCUACUACCGAUUGAAUGAUUUAGUGAGGCCUUCGGACUGGCGGUCCUGGACUGGGGCGGCGGGUUUCUCCCAGCGAUGGGGUUCCGCCGACUCGCCUGGACGGGCCGGAAAGAUGUCCAAACUUGAUCAUUUAGAGGAAGUAAAAGUCGUAACAAGGUUUCC
Molecule: ribosomal RNA, 654 nt
Filed under: Palaemon elegans
Lineage: Eukaryota; Metazoa; Arthropoda; Malacostraca; Decapoda; Palaemonidae
Description: SSU rRNA
Rfam family: Eukaryotic small subunit ribosomal RNA
Source: RNAcentral